UCGAUUAUAUUUUUUUAAUAAAAUUUGUUUUUUUUUUUUCCUUUUGUUGGAUCCCAAAUCACAUUAAAUUUAUAGUGGUUAAUGUUUAAGGUUUUAGAUUUUUUUAACUCCUCACAUUAGAUUUAACUUUGAGCCAUGUUGUUAACGAAGGGGAAUAUAUAAUGAAUUGAGAUUGUUAGAGUUUGUCCCAAAAUUAGAAUGAAGAAAAGGCUAGUGAAAUAGGCAAUUCAUUCAAUUUAAAUUCAUAGCUUGUAUAAUGAAUUAUAUCAACAUCUUUAUUUGUGAUAGGAAUACUUUUUUCCGACGCCAUCAAUUGAUGAAUGUUUUACGUAAAAAUGAAUUGUUCAU
Molecule: long non-coding RNA, 348 nt
Filed under: Durio zibethinus
Lineage: Eukaryota; Viridiplantae; Streptophyta; Magnoliopsida; Malvales; Malvaceae
Description: long non-coding RNA (DZIB_LNC001441)
Source: RNAcentral